This 470-nucleotide ribosomal RNA is filed under the name uncultured bacterium. RNAcentral's name for it is "bacterial SSU rRNA". It matches the Rfam family "Bacterial small subunit ribosomal RNA", at positions 8 to 507 of the family's 1533-position model. The record is from RNAcentral.
AGAGUUUGAUCCUGGCUCAGGAUGAACGCUGGCGGAGUGCCUAACACAUGCAAGUCGAGCGGCAGCGCGAGUAGUUUACUACUUGGCGGCGAGCGGCGGACGGCUGAGUAACGCGUGGGAACAUGCCCCAAAGUGAGGAAUAACUGCCCGAAAGGGUAGCUAAUGCCGCAUACGAUCUUCGGAUUAAAGGAUUUAUCCGCUUUGGGAGUGGCCUGCGUACGAUUAGAUAGUUAGUGAGGUAAUGGCUCACCAAGUCUACGAUCGUUAACUGGUUUGAGAGGAUGAUCAGUCAGACUGGAACUGAGACACGGUCCAGACUCCUACGGGAGGCAGCAGUGAGGAAUCUUCCACAAUGGACGAAAGUCUGAUGGAGCAACUCCGCGUGCAGGAUGAAGGCCUUCGGGUCGUAAACUGCUUUAUGAGUGAAGAAUAUGACGGUAACUCAUGAAUAAGGGUCGGCUAACUACGUG